Molecule: long non-coding RNA, 354 nt
Organism: Drosophila miranda
Lineage: Eukaryota; Metazoa; Arthropoda; Insecta; Diptera; Drosophilidae
Exons: 2
Source: RefSeq, a predicted model, not a curated record
UCAUAGUGGAUGGGAGCGUGUCCAUCUUCCUUUUGGAAUUUGGAUGUCGAGCGACCAACAUCGCCCCGAACAGGCUCAGCAAAAAUCAUUAAGGAAAAAGUUCCAAAGUCAAGAAAAGAAUAUUGUCAAAGCGCGAGUGGUAUCCAGCAGCAGCAAAGCAAAAGUCGCGGGACUAGGAAAACUGAAGCUAGGUCGGCCACUGGGGCCAAGAUUGACGGAUUUGGCGCCUAGCAAUUUGGGCUGGCGAAGCAGCGGCGCUCCAAGCAGCUGAUCCGUCGCAGCACAGAGCGAGGGAGCAGAGACGCAGAAAAAUUCUGAGAGGCUCGACCUUCGCGGGCAGCCGGAUCGACGUCG